AGAGUUUGAUCCUGGCUCAGAACGAACGCUGGCGGCAGGCCUAACACAUGCAAGUCGAACGCACCGCAAGGUGAGUGGCGCACGGGUGAGUAACACGUGGGAAUGUACCCUUUGGUUCGGAAUAACGUUUGGAAACGAACGCUAAUACCGGAUGAGCCCUACGGGGGAAAGAUUUAUCGCCAAAGGAGCAGCCCGCGUCUGAUUAGCUAGUUGGUGGGGUAAGGCCUACCAAGGCGACGAUCAGUAGCUAGUCUGAGAGGAUGAUCAGCCACACUGGGACUGAGACACGGCCCAGACUCCUACGGGAGGCAGCAGUGGGGAAUAUUGGACAAUGGGCGGAAGCCUGAUCCAGCCAUGCCGCGUGAGUGAUGAAGGCCUUCGGGUUGUAAAGCUCUUUCGCACGCGACGAUGAUGACGGUAGCGUGAGAAGAAGCCCCGGCUAACUUCGUGCCAGCAGCCGCGGUAAUACGAAGGGGGCUAGCGUUGUUCGGAAUUACUGGGCGUAAAGGGCGCGUAGGCGGCUAUUCAAGUCAGGCGUGAAAGCCCCGGGCUUAACCUGGGAACUGCGCUUGAGACUGGAUGGCUAGAGUACCGGAGAGGUAGGUGGAAUUCCCAGUGUAGAGGUGAAAUUCGUAGAUAUUGGGAAGAACACCAGUGGCGAAGGCGGCCUACUGGACGGUAACUGACGCUGAGGCGCGAAAGCGUGGGGAGCAAACAGGAUUAGAUACCCCGGUA
This 735-nucleotide ribosomal RNA is filed under the name uncultured bacterium. RNAcentral's name for it is "bacterial SSU rRNA". It matches the Rfam family "Bacterial small subunit ribosomal RNA", at positions 8 to 792 of the family's 1533-position model. The record is from RNAcentral.